CCUACGGGAGGCAGCAGUGAGGAAUAUUGGUCAAUGGCCGGAAGGCUGAACCAGCCAAGCCGCGUGAAGGACGAAGGUGCCAAGCAUUGUAAACUUCUUUUGUCAAGGGACAAAAUCAGGCUCGAGAGCCUGACCGAGGGUACUUGAAGAAAAAGCAUCGGCUAACUCCGUGCCAGCAGCCGCGGUAAUACGUAGGUGGCAAGCGUUGUCCGGAAUUACUGGGUGUAAAGGGAGCGUAGGCGGGAAGCCAAGUCAGCUGUGAAAACUACGGGCUUAACCUGUAGACUGCAGUUGAAACUGGCUUUCUUGAGUGAAGUAGAGGUUGGCGGAAUUCCGAGUGUAGCGGUGAAAUGCGUAGAUAUUCGGAGGAACACCGGUGGCGAAGGCGGCCAACUGGGCUUUAACUGACGCUGAGGCUCGAAAGUGUGGGGAGCAAACAGGAUUAGAUACCCUAGUAGUC
This 460-nucleotide ribosomal RNA is filed under the name uncultured bacterium. RNAcentral describes it as "partial 16S ribosomal RNA". It matches the Rfam family "Bacterial small subunit ribosomal RNA", at positions 338 to 795 of the family's 1533-position model. The record is from RNAcentral.